Ornithorhynchus anatinus (platypus) is the source of this 138-nucleotide small nucleolar RNA. The record is from RefSeq and is a predicted model, not a curated record. Lineage: Eukaryota; Metazoa; Chordata; Mammalia; Monotremata; Ornithorhynchidae.
CCCCUUUCAGGAUCAUACCUGGAGAUUUUCCAGGGCUCAACCAGUCUCAGUUAUGGGAGGGAGAGUCAAGCAGAGACAUACCCAUUCCAUUCCUAGCUUGGGCAGUGGCUAGCAAAUGGAAGGUAAUCUGCUACAAGU